Molecule: ribosomal RNA, 433 nt
Filed under: uncultured bacterium
Lineage: Bacteria
Description: partial 16S ribosomal RNA
Rfam family: Bacterial small subunit ribosomal RNA
Source: RNAcentral
AACGAACGCUGGCGGCAUGCCUAACACAUGCAAGUCGAACGAGACCUUCGGGUCUAGUGGCGCACGGGUGCGUAACGCGUGGGAACCUGCCUUUAGGUUCGGAAUAACUCAGAGAAAUUUGAGCUAAUACCGGAUGAUGUCUUCGGACCAAAGAUUUAUCGCCUUUAGAUGGGCCCGCGUUGGAUUAGCUAGUUGGUGGGGUAAAGGCCUACCAAGGCGACGAUCCAUAGCUGGUCUGAGAGGAUGAUCAGCCACACUGGGACUGAGACACGGCCCAGACUACUACGGGAGGCAGCAGUGGGGAAUAUUGGACAAUGGGCGAAAGCCUGAUCCAGCAAUGCCGCGUGAGUGAUGAAGGCCUUAGGGUUGUAAAGCUCUUUUACCCGAGAUGAUAAUGACAGUAUCGGGAGAAUAAGCUCCGGCUAACUCCGUG